UCUCCUGUGGCGCAGCUGGCAGCGCAGUAUGCUUAUAUGACACCGAUUUUUGUUACGUAUUGGUCGCGGGUUCGAACCCCGCCAGGAGAA
This is a transfer RNA of Rhodotorula graminis WP1, 90 nucleotides long. It matches the Rfam family "tRNA". From Rfam's summary of the family: Transfer RNA (tRNA) molecules are approximately 80 nucleotides in length. Their secondary structure includes four short double-helical elements and three loops (D, anti-codon, and T loops). Further hydrogen bonds mediate the characteristic L-shaped molecular structure. tRNAs have two regions of fundamental functional importance: the anti-codon, which is responsible for specific mRNA codon recognition, and the 3' end, to which the tRNAs corresponding amino acid is attached (by aminoacyl-tRNA synthetases). tRNAs cope with the degeneracy of the genetic code in two manners: having more than one tRNA (with a specific anti-codon) for a particular amino acid; and 'wobble' base-pairing, i.e. permitting non-standard base-pairing at the 3rd anti-codon position. The record is from Rfam. Lineage: Eukaryota; Fungi; Basidiomycota; Microbotryomycetes; Sporidiobolales; Sporidiobolaceae.